UGUGCAAACAUAUCAGACAAAGGACUAUUCUAUAUUGCUUCUAAUUGUUCAAAACUUCAUGAACUGGAUCUAUACCGCUGUAUCGGUAUAGGAGAUGAUGGUUUAGCUGCUUUAUCAAGUGGUUGCAAGAAGUUGAAAAAGCUUAACUUGUCAUACUGCAGUGAUAUUACUGAUAGAGGGAUGAAAUUACUAGGGUAUCUGGAGGAGCUCUCUGAUCUGGAAUUGAGAGGACUUGGCAAAAUCACAAGUGUAGGUUUGACGGCAUUUGCAGCCAAGUGUAGGACAAUAGCAGAUUUGGACUUGAAACAUUGUUGGAAUAUUGAUGAUAUGGGAUUCUCAGCACUUGCCUAUUACUCACUGAACCUGCGUCAGAUAAAUUUGAGCUACUGCAAUAUAUCGGACAUGGCAUUAUGCAUGUUGAUGGGAAAUCUGACGCGCUUGCAAGAUGCAAAACUGGUGCUUCUCAAAAAUGUCACUGUGAUAGGGUUUGAGCUUGCGCUUAGGGCUUGCUGUGUCCGGAUCAAAAAGGUUAAGUUGAAUACUGCUCUCAGGUUCAUGUUAACGGAGGAAAUACUUGAGAUUCUGCAUGCCAGGGGUUGCACCAUCAGAUGGGAUUAGAACCAUAUGUACUGAUAAACACCCACAUCCUUGGACUUAUUUUAAAAUCCAAUAAAGUAUUCAUCGAGUUCUUCUCUUCUACUCCCUUCAUCCAUCCCUUCUGACGACUGCUAGCAGAAUUGUAUGCC
Molecule: unclassified non-coding RNA, 746 nt
Filed under: Hevea brasiliensis (rubber tree)
Lineage: Eukaryota; Viridiplantae; Streptophyta; Magnoliopsida; Malpighiales; Euphorbiaceae
Source: RNAcentral